Molecule: long non-coding RNA, 538 nt
Organism: Papaver somniferum (opium poppy)
Lineage: Eukaryota; Viridiplantae; Streptophyta; Magnoliopsida; Ranunculales; Papaveraceae
Exons: 4
Source: RefSeq, a predicted model, not a curated record
AACCAUUUUUCUGCAUCGUGUGUUCUUAGGCCUAGAUGAGUCCCCAUUGGAAGUAGGGUGAUUGCUGAAAAAGUAAGCAUCCGCAAAUUCUGUUAUUUCUCUUCUUUGUUGGAAACCGUUUUAAACAGUGAAUUCAUGCCUGGAAGUGGAAUCAAAAUCGAAGUUAUCACAGGAGCUAGACCUAAUAGAGGACCCAGUACGCAAGUGGUUUUAUAAUAGAGAUUCUGAAUAAAAAACAGAAGAGACACGAAGAAGAAUAACUAGGAUAAUCUACAGUAACAGCUCCCUAAGGUUAGUAAGGUUUUAAAAGAAAAACACUUGAUAACACAUGGAAACCACCAGAUUUAGAACGUAACUUAAUCAAGAGGAACAUUAUGAAGAUCCUUGGAGAUCCGUAUUAGCUCCUAAAUCGUGCUCUUGGGUUACAGGAUCUGCAUCAGUUGGGAUACAUGGAGCUUGAAUUUUAGUAUGGACGUAUAGCAUUUUUGCCAUUUGAACAUGCCUGGUAGAACAGCUAUCUGGACCAGCUGCUAACGGG